UGCAGUUACAGAAGGUUGUGAGUCA
Molecule: non-coding RNA, 25 nt
Filed under: Rattus norvegicus (Norway rat)
Lineage: Eukaryota; Metazoa; Chordata; Mammalia; Rodentia; Muridae
Source: RNAcentral